GAUGAACGCUGGCGGCGUGCCUAAUACAUGCAAGUCGAGCGAACAGACGAGGAGCUUGCUCCUCUGACGUUAGCGGCGGACGGGUGAGUAACACGUGGAUAACCUACCUAUAAGACUGGGAUAACUUCGGGAAACCGGAGCUAAUACCGGAUAAUAUAUUGAACCGCAUGGUUCAAUAGUGAAAGACGGUUUUGCUGUCACUUAUAGAUGGAUCCGCGCCGCAUUAGCUAGUUGGUAAGGUAACGGCUUACCAAGGCAACGAUGCGUAGCCGACCUGAGAGGGUGAUCGGCCACACUGGAACUGAGACACGGUCCAGACUCCUACGGGAGGCAGCAGUAGGGAAUCUUCCGCAAUGGGCGAAAGCCUGACGGAGCAACGCCGCGUGUGUGAUGAAGGUCUUCGGAUCGUAAAACUCUGUUAUUAGGGAAGAACAAAUGUGUAAGUAACUAUGCACGUCUUGACGGUACCUAAUCAGAAAGCCACGGCUAACUACGUG
RNAcentral lists this ribosomal RNA (497 nucleotides) under uncultured bacterium. Its description in RNAcentral is "partial 16S ribosomal RNA". It matches the Rfam family "Bacterial small subunit ribosomal RNA", at positions 28 to 507 of the family's 1533-position model. The record is from RNAcentral.